GACGAACGCUGGCGGCGUGCUUAACACAUGCAAGUCGAACGGAAAGGCCCUGCUUUUGUGGGGUGCUCGAGUGGCGAACGGGUGAGUAACACUUGAGUAACCUGCCCCUGACUUUGGGAUAACUUCAGGAAACUGGGGCUAAUACCGGCUAGGAGCUCCUGCUGCAUGGUGGGGGUUGGUAAGAUUCGGCGGUUGGGGAUGGACUCGCGGCUUAUCAGCUUGUUGGUGGGGUAGUGUCUUACCAAGGCUUUGACGGGUAGCCGGCCUGAGAGGGUGACCGGCCACACUGGGCCUGAGAUACGGCCCAGACUCCUACGGGACGCAGCAGUGGGGUAUAUAGCACUAUGGGCGGAAGCAUGAUGCAGCAAAGCCGCGUGCGGGAUGACGGCCAGCGGGUUGUAUACCGCUUUCGCCUGUGACGAAGCGUGAGUGACGGUAAUGGGUAAAGAAGCACCGGCUAACUACGUG
Molecule: ribosomal RNA, 468 nt
Filed under: uncultured bacterium
Lineage: Bacteria
Description: partial 16S ribosomal RNA
Rfam family: Bacterial small subunit ribosomal RNA
Source: RNAcentral